GCCUCGGGGUGAGCGCAGACCAGUUCCUGCACCCCGCGGCCCGGGAGCAGACCCUGAGCCAGGCGGGCUGCGGGCCCCCAUCCCGGUCGCCGGGGAGGAGCGGACGGGGCUCGGCGGGGCCCGGAGCCCGGAGGAGCAGCCCGGGCCAGGCCGGGGCGGAGACAACCGGCCCUCUGGCCGCAGCUGCCGAUCCCACUGCGAGGACAGAGGUUUUUAAAUCUUCACCUUGGAAAUGCGAGCUUUCCAAAACAGACAGCUCGGACACAGCGGUUCCUUUAGAGAGUGCUGGUCCGGGGCGGGGACGCAGACGAGGGCCGGUGCGGGAGGCUGGAUCAGUCGGGGACCAGAACCCAGCCUGUCCUCGGUGCACCGAACCCAAACUGGACCCAGGUCCCGCCCUCAGUCUCAGAACCCAAUGAAGUUUGCUGACCAAGGCCUCAGUUUGUAUUUUUUCCUAAAGACACUAUAAUUGGGAAAUUCUGCUUAAGACAUUUAGAAGCAGGUAAUCCCUGAACUCCAGUGGGAAGUUUGCUUAGCUACAGGGUGCGGUGUCCUGCCCAGCAUCAGCAGCACGGAGGCAGGAAGACAGGAGACUGGCUAGCCACAAAGGCCAGGACUUCUCAUCUCAAGUCUGACUCCCAGAAGCCACAGAAAAUGAAACUCCCCCCAAACCCCGGUCUUUGCCUCCAGAGUUGGGCCGCAGUGACCAGUGGUCAGCAGGCAAGAAUUUCCAGCUCAUUGUCCACCUGCUGAGGAAAUGGAGGGAUCUCCGGGUGGUAGACUUAAUGUCACUGAAACACGCCUCAAGGAUCCCAGCUAAUUGGAGACCAGAUCCUUUUAGGAAGAUACGAAUGGAACUCUGAAAUUUAAACCAGUAUUACAAUGAUAUAGGGGAAAGAGAUAUAAACCUGCUAGAUAUCCAAAGCGCAAGUUUGUGUUCUCUAAAAUCAAAGAAUGAAUUCUAGGAACAACGGCGGGUAAGAGUAGGAAAAAUUUAUUGAGAGAAAGAUAGCUUCUGCCUAAGAGAGACAGAAGGGGGACCGGGAAGUGGGUUGCCCAGGGACCCCGUUUCCUAGGGGGUUUAUGGAGCAAAGCCACGAGCUGAGGCGGGUUCAAGGUGGGACAAAAUUAUAGUCAACUAGGCAGAUUACAAAUACAAUCGUUUAGGGAAUAUUGAUCCAGUGGGGAAUCACAGGCGGGUAUGAGGUGGGGCAAAACUAUGAUCAACCAAUAAGAUUACAAGAAUAGUUGCUUAGGUAAUAUUGAUUAAAUGGGGAGCCAGUGGGGAAGCAAGUCACAUGGUAAGCGUACAAGGACGGAGCAAGGAUUCUCAGUAAGGGAUGGGUUAAGGUCUUGGUCCUACACCCAGGGAAUUGAUACCUAUGUAGAAUAUCAAUCACUGCUAUCCAGCCCUAGACAAAGUACAGGAAUGUAGUAGUUUGUUUUUAUAAUGCUAACCUCCAGUGAAAGUGUCUCCAUUGUCCUUUUUUUUUUUGAGAUAGGGUUUCACUAUGUAGUUCAGGCUGGCCUUGAACUCACAGCGAUCCUCCUGCCUAAGCCUCCAAAGUGCUGGGAUUACAGGUGUGUGCCACCAUGCCUGGCUCCAUUGUCCUUCAUAUUGACUCCUGGAGGGCCAACCCUGUCUAACUGCCUACAAGAUAUCUAAUUAACUUACCUAUCUACAAUAUUAAUACAUUCAGAAAACCAAAUAUACAAAUCUAGCUACAGUUAUAAGGUUCAUGAGGCAAGUAAUUUUUUCCUUUUCUUCCCUGAUUAUAAAAACAAUUCAGUACAUAUCAAAAUAGAAUUACAGUAUAGAAAAUACUAAUUAUUCAUCUGGCAAUGAUAUGUGGAGAACUGAGGCAGGGUAGGAAAAUUAAAACUAGAGACAAGUAUAAAAGAUUAGCCCCUCACUCCCGC
Molecule: long non-coding RNA, 1920 nt
Organism: Heterocephalus glaber (naked mole-rat)
Lineage: Eukaryota; Metazoa; Chordata; Mammalia; Rodentia; Bathyergidae
Source: RefSeq, a predicted model, not a curated record